GACGAAGGAUGCAAGCGUUAUCCGGAAUGAUUGGGCGUAAAGCGUCCGCAGGUGGCUCUUCAAGUCUGCUGUCAAAGAGCAGGGCUCAACCUUGUCAAGGCAGUGGAAACUGAAAAGCUAGAGUGUGGUAGGGGUAGAGGGAAUUCCCAGUGUAGCGGUGAAAUGCGUAGAGAUUGGGAAGAACACCGGUGGCGAAAGCGCUCUACUGGACCUGCACUGACACUGAGGGACGAAAGCUAGGGGAGCGAAUGGG
Molecule: ribosomal RNA, 253 nt
Filed under: uncultured bacterium
Lineage: Bacteria
Description: partial 16S ribosomal RNA
Rfam family: Bacterial small subunit ribosomal RNA
Source: RNAcentral